GUGGAUUAGAUACCCUGGUAGUCCACACCGUAAACGUUGGGCGCUAGGUGUGGGACCUAUUCCAUGGGUUCCGUGCCGUAGCUAACGCAUUAAGCGCCCCGCCUGGGGAGUACGGCCGCAAGGCUAAAACUCAAAGGAAUUGACGGGGGCCCGCACAAGCGGCGGAGCAUGCGGAUUAAUUCGAUGCAACGCGAAGAACCUUACCUGGGUUUGACAUACACCGGAAGCCCCUAGAGAUAGGGGUCUCUUUGAUACUGGUGUACAGGUGGUGCACGGUCGUCGCCAGCU
Molecule: ribosomal RNA, 288 nt
Filed under: uncultured bacterium
Lineage: Bacteria
Description: partial 16S ribosomal RNA
Rfam family: Bacterial small subunit ribosomal RNA
Source: RNAcentral